This 527-nucleotide ribosomal RNA is filed under the name uncultured bacterium gp4. Its description in RNAcentral is "bacterial SSU rRNA". It matches the Rfam family "Bacterial small subunit ribosomal RNA", at positions 90 to 632 of the family's 1533-position model. The record is from RNAcentral.
AUAAAGUGGCGCACGGGUGAGUAACACGUAAGUAAUCUACCCUCGGGUGGGGAAUAACGUCGGGAAACCGACGCUAAUACCGCAUAAUGCAGCGGCACCGCAAGGUGACAGUUGUUAAAGGAGUAAUCCGCCUGGGGAGGAGCUUGCGGCAGAUUAGCUAGUUGGUAAGGUAAUGGCUUACCAAGGCUACGAUCUGUAACCGGUCUAAGAGGACGGUCGGUCACACUGACACUGAAUAACGGGUCAGACUCCUACGGGAGGCAGCAGUCGGGAAUUUUGGGCAAUGGGCGAAAGCCUGACCCAGCAACGCCGCGUGAAGGAUGAAGUAUUUCGGUAUGUAAACUUCGUAAAAAUAGGAAGAAUAAAUGACGGUACUAUUUGUAAGGUCCGGCUAACUACGUGCCAGCAGCCGCGGUAAUACGUAGGGACCAAGCGUUGUUCGGAUUUACUGGGCGUAAAGGGCGCGUAGGCGGCGUGACAAGUCACUUGUGAAAUCUCCGGGCUUAACUCGGAACGGUCAAGUGAUA